Molecule: ribosomal RNA, 789 nt
Filed under: Vibrio parahaemolyticus
Lineage: Bacteria; Pseudomonadati; Pseudomonadota; Gammaproteobacteria; Vibrionales; Vibrionaceae
Description: partial 23S ribosomal RNA
Rfam family: Bacterial large subunit ribosomal RNA
Source: RNAcentral
UUAAAGAAAGCGUAAUAGCUCACUGGUCGAGUCGGCCUGCGCGGAAGAUGUAACGGGGCUAAGUAGUAAACCGAAGCUGCGGCAAUGUGCUUUUGCACAUUGGGUAGGGGAGCGUUCUGUAAGCGGUUGAAGGUGUGUGGUAACGCAUGCUGGACGUAUCAGAAGUGCGAAUGCUGACAUGAGUAACGAUAAAGGGGGUGAAAAACCUCCUCGCCGGAAGACCAAGGGUUCCUGUCCAACGUUAAUCGGGGCAGGGUAAGUCGACCCCUAAGGCGAGGCCGAAAGGCGUAGUCGAUGGGAAACGGGUUAAUAUUCCCGUACUUCUUACAAUUGCGAUGGGGGGACGGAGAAGGCUAGGUGGGCCUGGCGACGGUUGUCCAGGUUCAAGUGCGUAGGCUUAAGAGUUAGGUAAAUCCGGCUCUUUUUAAGGCUGAGACACGACGUCGAGCAUCUACGGAUGUGAAGUCAUUGAUGCCAUGCUUCCAGGAAAAGCCUCUAAGCUUCAGAUUGUAAGGAAUCGUACCCCAAACCGACACAGGUGGUCGGGUAGAGAAUACCAAGGCGCUUGAGAGAACUCGGGUGAAGGAACUAGGCAAAAUGGUACCGUAACUUCGGGAGAAGGUACGCUCUUGAUGGUGAAGUCCCUUGCGGAUGGAGCUGACGAGAGUCGCAGAUACCAGGUGGCUGCAACUGUUUAUUAAAAACACAGCACUGUGCAAAAUCGUAAGAUGACGUAUACGGUGUGACGCCUGCCCGGUGCCGGAAGGUUAAUUGAUGGGGUUAGACUUC